Molecule: ribosomal RNA, 25 nt
Filed under: Phaeophyscia orbicularis
Lineage: Eukaryota; Fungi; Ascomycota; Lecanoromycetes; Caliciales; Physciaceae
Description: partial 18S ribosomal RNA
Source: RNAcentral
UUCCGUAGGUGGAACAUGCGGGAGG